RNAcentral lists this ribosomal RNA (254 nucleotides) under uncultured bacterium. Its description in RNAcentral is "partial 16S ribosomal RNA". It matches the Rfam family "Bacterial small subunit ribosomal RNA", at positions 524 to 776 of the family's 1533-position model. The record is from RNAcentral.
UACGGAGGGAGCUAGCGUUGUUCGGAAUUACUGGGCGUAAAGCGCACGUAGGCGGCUUUGUAAGUUAGAGGUGAAAGCCCGGGGCUCAACUCCGGAACUGCCUUUAAGACUGCAUCGCUUGAAUCCAGGAGAGUUGAGUGGAAUUCCGAGUGUAGAGGUGAAAAUUCGUAGAUAUUCGGAAGAACACCAGUGGCGAAGGCGGCUCACUGGACUGGUAUUGACGCUGAGGUGCGAAAGCGUGGGGAGCAAACAGG